AGAGUUUGAUCAUGGCUCAGAACGAACGCUGGCGGCGUGGAUAAGACAUGCAAGUCGGACGAGAUUUUCCGUUGUAGCAAUACGAUGGAAAGUCUAGUGGCGAACGGGUGCUUAACACGUGGGCAAUCUGUCUUAAAGUGGGGGAUAGCUCGGCGAAAGCCGAAUUAAUACCGCAUGUGAUUAGAGUGGACAUCCAUUCAAAAUUAAAGGUGGCGCAAGCUACCGCUUUUUGAGGAGCCCGCGGCCUAUCAGCUUGUUGGUGAGGUAACGGCUCACCAAGGCUUUGACGGGUAGCUGGUCUGAGAGGACGACCAGCCACACUGGGACUGAGACACGGCCCAGACACCUACGGGUGGCAGCAGUCGAGAAUUUUUCUCAAUGGGGGAAACCCUGAAGGAGCGACGCCGCGUGGAGGAUGAAGGUCUUCGGAUUGUAAACUCCUGUCAUUGGGGAACAAGUCGCUUACGUUAACUGCGUGAGCGUUGAUAGUACCCGAAGAGGAAGAGACGGCUAACUCUGUGCCAGCAGCCGCGGUAAUACAGAGGUCUCAAGCGUUGUUCGGAUUCAUUGGGCGUAAAGGGUGCGUAGGCGGCGCGGUAAGUCGGGUGUGAAAUCUUGGAGCUUAACUCCGAAACUGCAUUCGAUACUGCCGUGCUUGAGGACUGGAGAGGAGACUGGAAUUUACGGUGUAGCGGUGAAAUGCGUAGAUAUCAGGAGGAACCCGGUGGUGUAGACGGCUCUCUGGACCGUAACUGACGCUGAAACACGAAAGCGUGGGUAGCAAACAGGAUUAGAUACCCUAGUAGUCC
Molecule: ribosomal RNA, 809 nt
Filed under: uncultured bacterium
Lineage: Bacteria
Description: bacterial SSU rRNA
Rfam family: Bacterial small subunit ribosomal RNA
Source: RNAcentral